This is a long non-coding RNA of Amphimedon queenslandica, 800 nucleotides long. RefSeq lists it as uncharacterized. NCBI's taxonomy places the organism in Eukaryota, Metazoa, Porifera, Demospongiae, Haplosclerida, Niphatidae. The record is from RefSeq and is a predicted model, not a curated record. The transcript is spliced from 3 exons.
CAAGAAGAAUUCAUAUCAUCUCUGAUACGAAAUCAAUGAUUCAAGCCUGAUGUCUAUUUUGAUACAGCCCUGACUGGCAUCAAUGUUGAAUCAUGGAUGAUCAUCAUGAUUGUAUCAUACUAGACUGAUUGCUUUGCAGGCUCCCCAUAAUCCAUGAUACAGGAAUGUAUCAGGCUGAUCCUGAUUGAUAUCCAGCAAAAUUUGACCCAAGACCAUGUACUAUCAUAGGACAGGGACUUUGACCAGAUUUUUGAAGAACUUCAUAAAAAACUAGUUUUAUUGGAAUCAGCUCGAAUUUUCUACAGAACAUACGAACAUGUAUCAGAUAAUUCUGUAGCCCACUAUGUGUGAAAUAUUGCUCAUGUUAGCUCCUUGAGGUGCAACUGUACAGUGAUGUUAAGAUCAAUCAUGAAGUGUGAAACAUACUUCACAGUAGCCCUGUGCUCUGCAUGAUCAUGCAAGACUUAAUCACAUGUUCAUCACAUGCUCUUCAGUUGUUUGAGAAAAAAGGUUUAUCUGUCAUCUGAAAUUUGUUUCAAUAGCUGAUUCUUGAGUUGUUGUGCUUCAAUAAGUCCCUCUGUUCUUCAUCGAUGGAGCCUAAAUCCUGUUUGAUAUUUGUGAUUGUAUUAUGUGCAGUAACUGCUGUCUCUUGCAGUAAAAAUAAAAGAGAGGAAUGGCAGUUGCUUAUUCCUGACGGUAAAAUAACCUCCUCACCUUCAGACAGUGCUGUUAAAAUAGGAGAAAAGCUGACAGUCUUUUGUACCUAUCCUUCUUACAUCCUACCACACAUGCAGAAAAAA